AGUGAUUCAAUAGUUGCCAUAUGCAAGACGUUUUACAUAGACAGUGGUGCCCCUAUUAUUUUCUACUCUUUUUUGCCAGACUGUAUAUAGACGGUCAAGCAAAUCGUGAGAACAAAAUUCAAAUUUUCUAUGGGACGACAAUGUAUGAGCACAUUAUUCAAAUUUGCCGCCAUUUUUUACUCUCAUGCUUUGCUUAACCAUCUAUAGUUACAUUAUCUAGGUUGGACUUGUGAUUACUGAUGUAUUUAUUGGGUAAAAAAAAACUGAUACUGGCAACAUUCUCAAGUUGUCAUCCAACAAACCAAGCUAACGGCCGAAUGUGAUCUGCUCGUGUACUGUUCUGUGCUCUUUUCGCUCGUUUUUUUGCGUCGUUGUCAUUGCUGUGAAAGUGUUAUGGUGGUAAAAUUAACUUGGUGAUUGCAAUCGCAAGUAUACCUACUAAAAUAAUGGAAGAAGACACAGAAAACAAAUUGGUAUCCUGGGAUUUGCCGUCAGUAGUCGUCGAGAACUUUAAAAAAAAUGAUAUAAGCAAGGAACAGUUCAAAUAUUUGGUUUUAAAUGAUACUUGAAAGAGCUUUGCAAACACAUUGUGCACCGAAUUAAACUAAAAAGUAAACUACAAGAUUACUUAGACUCAGUUACUGAUACUGAAACUGCAUACUUCUUCAAUGAAGAUUUAAUGGUUAUUAAAGCGAAAACAAACUGUAUAGAAGUGAUGCAAGUUGAUCAAGAUCAGUCAGUUAUUCUGACAGACAUUACUUUGGAUUUGGAUUCCUACUUAAGUGUACCAAGUAGGCUUUCACUGCCAUAAUUUGAAUUGAAGAGUAUCCGCCAAUGUACUCCACAAGUAAAUAGUGUUCUAAAUUAUUAUCAAAAAUACAAACAAUUGAACUCGCAAAAAAGAAGCAUCAUUGUUGAUGUUUUGGUGAAAUAUCACUACACAUUUAUUGUUAACAACAACAUCAAACCAGAAGAAUUCAAUUUGCUAGCUGCAAAAAUAGUUUCACUUUUCCCAACUGAAAGUAUAUAUACCUACUAUAUGAAAGCU
Long non-coding RNA from Leguminivora glycinivorella, 1048 nucleotides. RefSeq lists it as uncharacterized. Lineage: Eukaryota; Metazoa; Arthropoda; Insecta; Lepidoptera; Tortricidae. The record is from RefSeq and is a predicted model, not a curated record. The transcript has 3 exons.